Molecule: ribosomal RNA, 577 nt
Filed under: Acremonium hansfordii
Lineage: Eukaryota; Fungi; Ascomycota; Sordariomycetes; Hypocreales; Bionectriaceae
Description: eukaryotic LSU rRNA
Rfam family: Eukaryotic large subunit ribosomal RNA
Source: RNAcentral
UUGACCUCGGAUCAGGUAGGAAUACCCGCUGAACUUAAGCAUAUCAAUAAGCGGAGGAAAAGAAACCAACAGGGAUUGCCCUAGUAACGGCGAGUGAAGCGGCAACAGCUCAAAUUUGAAAUCUGGCUCUCGGGCCCGAGUUGUAAUUUGUAGAGGAUGUUUCUGGCGACGUGUCUUCCGAGUUCCCUGGAACGGGACGCCAUAGAGGGUGAGAGCCCCGUCCGGUCGUACGCCUAGCCUCUGUGAAACUCCUUCGACGAGUCGAGUAGUUUGGGAAUGCUGCUCAAAAUGGGAGGUAUACGUCUUCUAAAGCUAAAUACCGGCCAGAGACCGAUAGCGCACAAGUAGAGUGAUCGAAAGAUGAAAAGCACUUUGAAAAGAGGGUUAAAUAGUACGUGAAAUUGCUGAAAGGGAAGCGCUCAUGACCAGACUUGGGCUCGGUGAAUCAUCCGGCGUUCUCGCCGGUGCACUUUGCCGGCCCAGGCCAGCAUCAGCUCGCCUCGGGGGAUAAAGGCUUCGGGAAUGUAGCUCCCUCGUGGAGUGUUAUAGACCGUUGCGUAAUACCCUGGGGCGGGCU